This 1049-nucleotide long non-coding RNA is filed under the name Manacus vitellinus (golden-collared manakin). RNAcentral's name for it is "lncRNA (ENSMVIG00005004607.1)". The record is from RNAcentral. Lineage: Eukaryota; Metazoa; Chordata; Aves; Passeriformes; Pipridae.
CGGGGGUGCGUGUUUGGGAUGCUUCGCUGGGUAUAUAAGCACUGGAAAGGUGGACUCGCGUCCUGACCAGAGCUUCCCCCUCCCUCAGCCAGCCCCCCCCCAGCCCUGCCUUGUGUAUCCCCCCGCUAAGCCUGACCCCUCAGCCCGGGCUGACCCCCGCGGGGGGGUGAAUGUGAAAAGAGGAGGAGGAGAGCGAAGAAGGGGUGGGGGGGCGGCAGGCACUUGUGCCGGCGCAGCCUCUCGCAUCAAGUGAGGACUAAUCCCAUCCCUGGGCCUGCUCUCUGUUCCCUUCCUGCAUUAGAGAUUGGCUAUAAGGAGAAGGCUGACGGCUGCAGCAUGAAGCGCAUUAUUACCUUGUGAUUCCAUGACCCUCCUCUAUGCAUCCCUAACUCUCGAAAGCUGAUUCAGCUUUCAGCUAGUGCUCUGGUGAGUCCUCUGCUGCAACAGAAGCUCCUAACUGGAAUUCCGAGGGGAGAAGACUACUGAAAGAUGCCUGUGGGUCAUCCUGCAAAUCCUCUGACCUCGGGAAGGGAGCAGGCUGAAAUGACCCUGAUGGUGACGCAGAGCUGUGGGUGCCACGCAUUGCUCAGACUCUGCAGGACCAGACCUACAGCUGCUGCACUAAAUUUCAAUGUCUUCUCUUCAGAUGAUGAUGUCUGUGGACUUUCCUAUUUUUCUUGCCAAUCUAAUGUCAUAUUUCCUUCAAAUAAAACUCGGUGUGUGAGAACUCACUUCUGUUUCUCUCUUAGGAAAGGAAGGCUGCCCUGUCUGUGCAUCACCUAACAGGAAAGACCUCAGGACAAAGAGCUCAGACCCUCCAGAAAUCUUUCAGAGAGAAGCUCCAGCUCUCCCUUAUCUCUUUUAAAGUUAACACAUCACACUUUGUACAUGCUCAGCAACAAAGUUCCUAAUGUUGUUUCCCGAUAACCCAGAGGCCCGGGACAGCAAUGCUGUUGCUGUUUCAUAGAGGGCGAGAGCGGGACACUUGCUCCCCUGGCUGCCGACAAUCAGCACUUUGUGAACAUCCCACACUAGAGGUUUGCACAGAG